UCGUGGAGUGAUUUGUCUGCUUAAUUGCGAUAACGAACGAGACCUUAACCUGCUAAAUAGCCAGGCUAGCUUUGGCUGGUCGCCGGCUUCUUAGAGGGACUAUCGGCUCAAGCCGAAGGAAGUUUGAGGCAAUAACA
RNAcentral lists this ribosomal RNA (137 nucleotides) under uncultured eukaryote. RNAcentral's name for it is "partial 18S ribosomal RNA". It matches the Rfam family "Eukaryotic small subunit ribosomal RNA", at positions 1299 to 1458 of the family's 1831-position model. The record is from RNAcentral.